RNAcentral lists this long non-coding RNA (824 nucleotides) under Cricetulus griseus (Chinese hamster). Its description in RNAcentral is "lncRNA (ENSCGRG00015043137.1)". Lineage: Eukaryota; Metazoa; Chordata; Mammalia; Rodentia; Cricetidae. The record is from RNAcentral.
CGAUCCCAUUUCAGGAAGUAUAUAACACGUCUAGGGAAGCUAGUUUGAGUUAUAGGGUAUUGGCCAAAGGAGUGGAGUACCACCAGUGGAGGUGUUUGUCAGAAAAAGCAGGAGCGGGAAGGACUCUUGCCUUGGAGUCAUGCUGUCCACAGUGGAUUCAGAGGCUGUGACUCACUAAGGAAAAGGAGUGCCCUGUGUCCUAGGAGAGGCUGCUUCUCUCCAAAUAAGAAUUCUUUGGCUGAGGAAGGAAAUGAGGCAAUCUAAGAUUAAUCAGCGGCCACCAGUCGGACAGAGCUAGAAGUCCAAGCCAUAGCCAGCUACUUCUGGUUAACAUUCACCCUUUACCCACAAGGCACCCAGGACACCAACAUGCUGAGUUCUAGUGAGAAAGGGAAUGAGCCCCUCCUUGGGGAGGUGGAGACAGGCGUGAUAUGGCUGGGCAGAGAGAGGAAUAAAAGGCAGGAGGACACAGGAACUGAGAGCCUUUUGCCUCUGAGGAUUCUUGGAGACAGGACUGCCAUUUCAGCUGGGUAGAGCUAGACUCCAACUCCUAAAGGUUCCCCAGCCUCUGGAAACAGCGCCCCCAUCUGGAGACCAAGUGAGCAUACACAUGAGCCUAUGAAGGACAUUUCAUGAUCAAAUCACCACAAAAAGUAGUAGGUGUCGGUUCCUCCUUAUCCCUUCCUGAAGAUGCAUCAAGUGGUACUGACGGCCCUUGGGCUGCCUUCCAGACAAGUUAGAACAGCCUGGAUCCGUGCACUCCUACUGUGUCAGCAUGAACAACAAUUAAAAUAAUAUUUCAACUUGCAGAUAAGCAAACGAGC